GCGAACGGGUGAGUAACACGUGGGCAAUCUGCCCUGCACUUCGGGACAAGCCCUGGAAACGGGGUCUAAUACCGGAUAUGAUCACCGGCCGCAUGGUCUGGUGGUGGAAAGCUCCGGCGGUGCAGGAUGAGCCCGCGGCCUAUCAGCUUGUUGGUGGGGUGAUGGCCUACCAAGGCGACGACGGGUAGCCGGCCUGAGAGGGCGACCGGCCACACUGGGACUGAGACACGGCCCAGACUCCUACGGGAGGCAGCAGUGGGGAAUAUUGCACAAUGGGCGAAAGCCUGAUGCAGCGACGCCGCGUGAGGGAUGACGGCCUUCGGGUUGUAAACCUCUUUCAGCAGGGAAGAAGCGAGAGUGACGGUACCUGCAGAAGAAGCACCGGCUAACUACGUGCCAGCAGCCGCGGUAAUACGUAGGGUGCGAGCGUUGUCCGGAAUUAUUGGGCGUAAAGAGCUCGUAGGCGGCGUGUCACGUCGGAUGUGAAAGCCCGGGGCUUAACCCUGGGUCUGCAUUCGAUACGGGCAGGCUAGAGUUCGGUAGGGGAGAUCGGAAUUCCUGGUGUAGCGGUGAAAUGCGCAGAUAUCAGGAGGAACACCGGUGGCGAAGGCGGAUCUCUGGGCCGAUACUGACGCUGAGGA
This 641-nucleotide ribosomal RNA is filed under the name Modestobacter sp. I11A-00710. Its description in RNAcentral is "bacterial SSU rRNA". It matches the Rfam family "Bacterial small subunit ribosomal RNA", at positions 98 to 752 of the family's 1533-position model. Lineage: Bacteria; Bacillati; Actinomycetota; Actinomycetes; Geodermatophilales; Geodermatophilaceae. The record is from RNAcentral.